This 516-nucleotide long non-coding RNA is filed under the name Bos mutus (wild yak). RNAcentral describes it as "lncRNA (ENSBMUG00000008270.1)". Lineage: Eukaryota; Metazoa; Chordata; Mammalia; Artiodactyla; Bovidae. The record is from RNAcentral.
CUGGAAACGCCGGCUCCCGGCUGCCCGGAAGCCAAGAAGAGGGAAAGACAGCGGGCCUGACCCCUCCCGGAUCGGGGAGGGCAGCAGCUGCCGAUCACCACCGGCUGGGGAGCCACAGAGCCAGGAAUCCCAAGCAGCUGGAGCACUGGGGGACACCCAGACAGAGCCUUCGCUGGACCAGGUCCUCCGGGAGCGAGAUGACGCUAUCGCCAAGAAGCGGGCCGUGGAGGCUGAGCUGGACACCUGCAGAGCCAAGCUGCGUGCUGUGGAGGCCCAACUGCUGGAAGUUCUGGAGGAGAAGCUGAGACUGAGGCAGGAGGUGGAGGCCUGGGAGGUAAGGUGGGUGUGCCGGCCGGGCCUGGGAGGCAGGGCCAGACAAGCACAGGCCUGGCCCCUGACCCUGCUCUCCUGGCCCCCAGGAGGACAUGCAAUGGCUGGUGAGGCAGCAGGUUGAGAGUCAGCUGCAGAGAGAGUCCCGGGGCGCUCCGGGAGCCCCCGCGGACCCUGGAACUGCCA